UGUACUGAACUAUGUCAAAUGGAGGUUAAUGAGUAUUUAAACGUUGAUAAAUGAAAUGUAGCAAAUUUAAAUGAAAUUAAUUGGAAUACGCAGUAAUCUUGAAAUAAUCAUUCUUUAAAGGUUUAGACGUAUCAUUUAUGAUUUUGAUUAUCUGAGGUAUUAACUGUUGCAUAGAAUCAGUGUGAACAUGGGUAGUGCAGCACACUUUGGUAAUGGAACUAAACUUACAGUCCUAGAGCGUAAUUUAAGUAUACCAAAUUCUGUAGAAAUCCUGAAGCCCUCUGGAAUCGAGACUGGCUGUAAGAAAAAAGUCACUCUUGUGUGUGUGGUCAGAAACUUCUACCCAGACCAUGUGAGCAUAAGAUGGACCCUUGGAGGCAUAGAAAUAAAAGAUGAUAUAGCGACAGACCCAUAUGCCAUCCAAGACAAAGACACAAAAUUGUUCAGCAUAUCCAGCAGACUUCAAGUCUCUAAAAAACAAUUCAAACCAAAACACAAUUACACAUGUACAAUGAGAUUCUACAAUGAAACAGACAAGUACCAGAACAUAUCCGGCAGUAUCAUUGGAAUUGAAGGGGAUGAAUAUGAGCCAGAAAACUAUGUGAAUUCAGCACAGUGGAUGAAAUUGGCAUACGGUGUGUUCAUCGCUAAGAGUGGACUGUAUGGUCUUGUCGUCUUAGUGUACGUGAUGAGAAAGGGUUCAUCUGGAAAGUGAAUGACCUGAAGAUUCCUGGAUUGACGGAGUUACCAAGAAAACUCAUCUACUCUUUGAUUAUAUAACUGAAGAUUCUAUCUAUUUCAUUUCAUUUCUCUCUUUCUGUUCUUUACUAAGUGUGUAUCCCAGUGAAAAUCUGCAG
Carassius carassius (crucian carp) is the source of this 857-nucleotide non-coding RNA. The record is from the annotation of a RefSeq genome assembly. NCBI's taxonomy places the organism in Eukaryota, Metazoa, Chordata, Actinopteri, Cypriniformes, Cyprinidae.